This 484-nucleotide ribosomal RNA is filed under the name uncultured bacterium. RNAcentral describes it as "partial 16S ribosomal RNA". It matches the Rfam family "Bacterial small subunit ribosomal RNA", at positions 30 to 507 of the family's 1533-position model. The record is from RNAcentral.
AUUGAACGCUGGCGGCAGGCCUAACACAUGCCAGUCGAGCGGAUGAAGAGAGCUUGCUCCUGGAUUCAGCGGCGGACGGGUGAGUAAUGCCUAGGAAUCUGCCUGGUAGUGGGGGAUAACGUCCGGAAACGGGCGCUAAUACCGCAUACGUCCUGAGGGAGAAAGUGGGGGAUCUUCGGACCUCACGCUAUCAGAUGAGCCUAGGUCGGAUUAGCUAGUUGGUGGGGUAAAGGCCUACCAAGGCGACGAUCCGUAACUGGUCUGAGAGGAUGAUCAGUCACACUGGAACUGAGACACGGUCCAGACUCCUACGGGAGGCAGCAGUGGGGAAUAUUGGACAAUGGGCGAAAGCCUGAUCCAGCCAUGCCGCGUGUGUGAAGAAGGUCUUCGGAUUGUAAAGCACUUUAAGUUGGGAGGAAGGGCAGUAAGUUAAUACCUUGCUGUUUUGACGUUACCAACAGAAUAAGCACCGGCUAACUUCGUG